AGUGUGUGACACUGCUGC
This 18-nucleotide non-coding RNA is filed under the name Mus musculus (house mouse). The record is from RNAcentral. Lineage: Eukaryota; Metazoa; Chordata; Mammalia; Rodentia; Muridae.